This 447-nucleotide ribosomal RNA is filed under the name uncultured bacterium. RNAcentral's name for it is "bacterial SSU rRNA". It matches the Rfam family "Bacterial small subunit ribosomal RNA", at positions 355 to 825 of the family's 1533-position model. The record is from RNAcentral.
UCGGGAAUUUUGGGCAAUGGGCGAAAGCCUGACCCAGCAACGCCGCGUGAAGGAUGAAGUAUUUCGGUAUGUAAACUUCGAAAGAAUAGGAAGAAUAAAUGACGGUACUAUUUAUAAGGUCCGGCUAACUACGUGCCAGCAGCCGCGGUAAUACGUAGGGACCAAGCGUUGUUCGGAUUUACUGGGCGUAAAGGGCGCGUAGGCGGCAAUUCAAGUCAUCUGUGAAAUCUCCGGGCUUAACUCGGAACGGUCAGAUGAUACUGCUUUGCUAGAGUGCAGAAGGGGCAAUCGGAAUUCUUGGUGUAGCGGUGAAAUGCGUAGAUAUCAAGAGGAACACCUGAGGUGAAGACGGGUUGCUGGGCUGACACUGACGCUGAGGCGCGAAAGCCAGGGGAGCAAACGGGAUUAGAUGCCCUCGUAGUCCCUGAGCGGGCUGGCAAGGCGCAU